Molecule: ribosomal RNA, 580 nt
Filed under: uncultured bacterium
Lineage: Bacteria
Description: bacterial SSU rRNA
Rfam family: Bacterial small subunit ribosomal RNA
Source: RNAcentral
ACGGGUGAGUAACGCGUGGAUAACGUACCCUAGGGUUGAGGAUAACCCACCGAAAGGUGGACUAAUACUGAAUGUGUUCCUGGAAGGUGAGCCUACUAGGAAGAAAGCAGGGUAACCUGCGCCCAAGGAUCGGUCCGCGUUCCAUCAGCUAGUUGGUGGGGUAAUGGCCUACCAAGGCUACGACGGAUAGCUGGUCUGAGAGGAUGAUCAGCCACACUGGGACUGAGACACGGCCCAGACUCCUACGGGAGGCAGCAGUGGGGAAUAUUGGUCAAUGGGCGAAAGCCUGAACCAGCAAUGCCGCGUGAGUGAUGAAGGCCUUCGGGUUGUAAAGCUCUGUCAGUGGGAACGAAUAAGCCGAUUAAUACUCGGUGGUGACGGUACCCACAAAGGAAGCACCGGCUAACUCUGUGCCAGCAGCCGCGGUAAUACAGAGGGUGCAAGCGUUGUUCGGAAUUACUGGGCGUAAAGCGCGUGUAGGCGGUCUGGCAAGUCGGUCGUGAAAGCCCUUGGCUUAACCAAGGAACUGCGAUCGAAACUACUAGACUUGAGUAUCGGAGGGGGUGGCGGAAUUCCCGGU